AAGAAGGUGCCGCGGCGGCGCCGGAGAUGUGUAAUUAAGUGAACCAUAUAUGUUUCAUCAUCAUGGAGAUCUUGGAGAAUUAUCUGAGCACCAGGUUCAUAUGUAUUCGAUCUCAGAGGCAUCUAUUGGACAACAAAACACUCUUUCAGUUGUGAACUUUAUUUAUUUAUUAUUAUUUUUUUUUGAGACAGAGUUUUGCUCUUGUUGCCCAGGUUAGACUGCAGUGGCACGAUCUCGGCUCACUGCAAUCUCCGCCUCCCAGGUUCAAGGGAUUCUCUUGCCUCUGCCUCCCGAGUAGCUGGGAUUACAGGCGUCUGCUGCCACGCCUGGCCAAUUUUUUGUAUUUUCAGUUGAAACGAGGUUUCACCAUAUUGGCCAGGCUGGUCUCGAACUUCUGACCUCAGGUGAUCCACCCCCUGCCUCGUCCUCCAAAAGAGCUGGGAUUACAAGUGUGAGCCACCGCGCCCGGCCCAGUUGUGGACUUUAACAGAGGGAAGCUUUAAACAUGUUUAACCACAGGCCCAAUUUGAACAAAGAUACUUCAAUCAUUAUAGAGAGGAAAACAGUACUUUUUGUUCAAUUGUGCAAACUCUCCAAGUAUCUAAUGGAGAAGUAGAGAGGAACCCAUGAAACUGAGUGUGAAUGAGGCUCAGCUAGGCUUCUACUUGGGUUCACUUUCUCAUCUGUCUGCCUGUCCUAGGAUUGACCCUCGCUCCUCUGAAGACCAGCCUGAAAGCCUUAAAAUUGGUCAGAUGAUGGAUGAGUCUGAUGAGGACUUUAAAGAACUCUGCGCUAGCUUUUUCCAAAGGGUGAAAAAACAUGGAAUCAAGGAAGUGUCAGGAGAAAGGAAGACACAAAAGGCUGCCUCAAACGGCACUCAGAUAAGAAGCAAAUUGAAAAGGACCAAACAAACUGCUACCAAGACCAAAACCCUUCAAGGCCCUGCAGAGAAGAAACCUCCAUCUGGCAGCCAGGCCCCUAGGACUAAAAAGCAAGGGGUAACCAAAUGGCAAGCAAGUGAACCGGCCCUCUCUGUGAAUGGGGAGGGGGGUGUGCUUGCCUCUGCUCCAGAUCCACCUGUGCUCUGGGAAACAGCACAAAACACCCAGACGGGUAACCAGCAAGAACCAUCGCCAAACCUUUCCAGAGAGAAAACCAGAGAGAAUGUGCCCAACAGCGACUCCCAGCCUCCUCCUUCCUGUUUGACAACAGCAGUGCCAAGUCCCUCCAAACCCCGCACAGCUCAAUUGGUCCUACAGCGAAUGCAGCAGUUCAAGAGAGCAGACCCCGAGCGUUUGAGACACGCUUCAGAAGAGUGCUCCCUCGAGGCUGCGCGGGAAGAAAAUGUCCCAAAGGAUCCUCAAGAGGAGACGAUGGUGGGGAAUGUGUAUGGGCUUGGGCCCCCUGCCCCAGAGAGCGACGCUGCGGUGGCCUUGACCCUGCAGCAGGAGUUUGCACGGGUAGGAGCAUCGGCACAUGAUGAUAGCCUGGAGGAAAAGGGUUUGUUCUUCUGCCAGAUUUGUCAAAAGAACCUCUCAGCCAUGAACGUGACCCGAAGGGAACAGCAUGUGAACAGGUGGGGGCAGCUUGGGCCGUCGCCUCUCCCGUGUACGUGACCAGAAUCCCCAGGCACCCCAGGGCUGGAGUGCGGAUCUCCACACCUUACCAUGACAACAGCACCUCAGCUUUGUUGUCAACCUACCCCUUUUUAAAAAUAACUUCGUUGAGAUACAAUUCACAGAACAUAUAGUUCACCCAUUUAAACCGAACAAAUCACUACUUUUGGGAUAUUCACACAGUUGGGCAACUGUCACCACAAUCACUUCUGGAUUAUUUUCAUCACCCCCAAAAGAAUCCCCACACCCAUUGGCAGCCACUCCCUAUUGCCCCUCUCUCCCCUGACAACCACUAAUCAACAUUCUGUCUGGAUGGAUUUGCCGAUUCUGAAAUUGCACAGUUGUCCUUUUGUGUCUGCCUUCUUUGACUUAAUAUGUUGUUUUUGAGGUUCAUCCAUGUUGUAGCAUGGAGCAGGCUUCAUUCCUUUUUAUGGCUGAGCAGUAUCUCAUUGUAUGGCUAGACUGUGUUUUUCCCAUUCUUACAUGAGGAAUAUGACCAUGCUUUAUCCUUUCAUCCAUUGGCGGACAUUUGGAGCAUUUCUACCCUUUGGGAUUGUGGAUAGAGCUGCCGUGAACAUGGGUUUCAUGUAUUUGUUUGGGUACCUGCUUUCAGUUCUUUGGGGUCUCUACUUAGGAGUGGAAUUUCUAAGUCAUCAUGUAACUGCAUUUAAUCUUUCCUUUCUUUCUUUAGCCAACUUUGCUGACAGAUACCUAAGUGUAGUGUCUAGGGGCUGACUGCCGGGAGACGGAGCCAGGCUGUGUAGAGGGCAUUGGCUUUGGGGAACUUGCUUUGACCACAGCACGUCCAUGUUGACCUGGACCCACAUUUGCUCCAAUCCACAUUCCCGGGGAGGGUGGUUCUCCUGUAUUGACUGUUUUCCUUCAGGUGCUUGGAUGAAGCUGAAAAGACACUAAGACCUUCUGUGUCUCAGAUCCCUGAGUGCCCGAUUUGUGGGAAACCGUUUCUUACCUUAAAGAGCAGAACCAGUCACUUGAAGCAGUGUGCUGUGAAGAUGGAGGUUGGCCCCCAGCUCCUGCUGCAGGCUGUGCGGCUGCAGACAGCACAGCCUGAGGGUAGCAGCAGCCCGCCCGUGUUCAGGUAAGUCGACGAAAAGGAAGAAAACCAAGCCAAAUAAUGCUGUGUGCACUCAGGGCUUUUUCUAUUUAAAAAAGCUUUUUAUGGGCUGAACGCAGUAGUUCACACCUGUAAUCGCAGCACUUUGGGAGGCCGAGGUGGGCAGAUCACCUUAGAUCAGGAGUUCGAUACCAGCCUGGCCAACAUGGUACAAUCUCGUCUCUACUAAAAAUACAAAAAUUAGCUGGGCAUGGUGGCACAUGCCUGUAGUCCCAGCUACUUGGGAGGCUGAGGCAGGAGAAUCACUUGAACCCAGAAGGUAGAGGCUGCAGUGAGCCAAGAUCGUACCACUGCACUCCAGCCUGGACAGAGUGAGAUCCUGUCUCC
This 3078-nucleotide small RNA is filed under the name Pan troglodytes (chimpanzee). Its description in RNAcentral is "retained intron". Lineage: Eukaryota; Metazoa; Chordata; Mammalia; Primates; Hominidae. The record is from RNAcentral.